This 253-nucleotide ribosomal RNA is filed under the name uncultured bacterium. RNAcentral describes it as "partial 16S ribosomal RNA". It matches the Rfam family "Bacterial small subunit ribosomal RNA", at positions 524 to 776 of the family's 1533-position model. The record is from RNAcentral.
UACGAAGGGUGCAAACGUUGCUCGGAAUUAUUGGGCGUAAAGCGCACGUAGGCGGCUUGGCAAGUCGGACGUGAAAUCCCUUGGCUCAACCAAGGAAGUGCAUCCGAAACUGCUGAGCUUGAGUACGAAAGAGGAUCGCGGAAUUCCCGGUGUAGAGGUGAAAUUCGUAGAUAUCGGGAGGAACACCAGUGGCGAAGGCGGCGAUCUGGGUCGAUACUGACGCUGAGGUGCGAAAGCGUGGGGAGCAAACAGG